CCUACGGGAGGCAGCAGUGGGGCAUAUUGCACAAUGGGGGAAACCCUGAUGCAGCGACGCCGCGUGAGUGAAGACGUAAUUCGUUAUGUAAAGCUCUAUCAGCAGGGAAGAAAAUGACGGUACCUGAGUAAGAAGCCCCGGCUAACUACGUGCCAGCAGCCGCGGUAAUACGUAGGGGGCAAGCGUUAUCCGGAUUUACUGGGUGUAAAGGGAGCGUAGACGGCAGUGCAAGUCUGGAGUGAAAGGCGGGGGCUCAACCCCCGGACUGCUCUGGAAACUGUACGGCGGGAGUGCAGGAGAGGUAAGUGGAAUUCCUAGUGUAGCGGUGAAAGGCGUAGAUAUUAGGAGGCACACCAGUGGCGAAGGCGGAUUACUGGACUGUAACUGACGUUGAGGCUCGAAAGCGUGGGGAGCAAACAGGAGCAGAUACCCGGGUAGUC
This 440-nucleotide ribosomal RNA is filed under the name uncultured bacterium. RNAcentral's name for it is "partial 16S ribosomal RNA". It matches the Rfam family "Bacterial small subunit ribosomal RNA", at positions 338 to 795 of the family's 1533-position model. The record is from RNAcentral.